Molecule: ribosomal RNA, 355 nt
Filed under: uncultured bacterium
Lineage: Bacteria
Description: bacterial SSU rRNA
Rfam family: Bacterial small subunit ribosomal RNA
Source: RNAcentral
AGAGUUUGAUCCUGGCUCAGGAUGAACGCUAGCGACAGGCUUAACACAUGCAAGUCGAGGGGCAGCAUGAUUUGUGGCAAUACAGAUUGAUGGCGACCGGCGCACGGGUGAGUAACGCGUAUGCAACCUACCUAUCAGAGGGGGAUAGCCCGGCGAAAGUCGGAUUAAUACCCCAUAAAACAGGGGUCCCGCAUGGGAAUAUUUGUUAAAGAUUCAUCGCUGAUAGAUAGGCAUGCGUUCCAUUAGGCAGUUGGCGGGGUAACGGCCCACCAAACCGACGAUGGAUAGGGGUUCUGAGAGGAAGGUCCCCCACAUUGGAACUGAGACACGGUCCAAACUCCUACGGGAGGCAGCA